Molecule: long non-coding RNA, 4835 nt
Filed under: Malus domestica (apple)
Lineage: Eukaryota; Viridiplantae; Streptophyta; Magnoliopsida; Rosales; Rosaceae
Description: long non-coding RNA (MDOM_LNC013634)
Source: RNAcentral
UAAGGGCUGGUUUGGUAUUGCUGUGCUUUGAAAAAAAGCUGCUGUGAGAAUAAGCGGCUGUGCUGUGAGAAUAAGCAGCUGUGAAAUAAAUCAGCAGAGCGUUUGGUAAACUUUUUUGUAAAAGUGCUUUUGGAAAAAAAAGCAGUCUGAUAGUGGGUCUUUUCAUUAAAGGAGCACUGUAGCUCCGUGUGCUUUGAAAAAAAGCCAGUUUUCCAAAGCUGCAAAUAGCAGCUUCAGCUUUUUCCUUUGAUUUCAGCUUAUUCUCACAGCAGCUUCCAAAAUAAGCCAUUUUUUUUCAGUUUACCAAACACCUAAAACCCUCUCAGCUUUUUUUCACAUGUGCUUUUUUUUUUAAGCACCUCACUCCCAAACUAGGUCUAAGUAGGUCCUGCACUUCCAUGUCAUCAGUUAACAAUUCACUAGACAGUUGCGUGUAGCUCAAACGCUUACAAACAUUUAUUUUUCCAUCCGAAGUCCUAGGUUUAAUUUUCUCUCCUCCAUUAUAGCUUGUAUUUUAAUCUUUGUCUGCUAACAAAUUAAACAUAAUAGAAGCUAAAGCAUUUCACAUUUGAUCUCGAUGGAUGUACAAAUUGCAAUGGGAUUGAUUCUCUGCUCUCAUAAUCUCUCUCUCUUUCCUUCCCUUCAUAUUUGAAUGGUUAUGGCUAAGCCACGUCAACAUUUUGUGUUGAUUUUUUAAUAGUCAGAAGCAAUGGUGGAGCCCGGAAUUAUUUGGUGGGUGGGCUAAACUAAAAUUAUUACUACGAAAUCAAAUGGUUAAUUUUUUUUUUGUUACUUACAUAAAGUUACAUAAUAAUAAGCCUAAAAGCAAUAAUUUGAAGUAAGAAAUUUAACUUUGGAUAAAUCAAGUUUCAACUAGAUUUAACAAAGAAAACAUUUAAAGUUGUCACUUAUAAUAGAAAGAAACAUACAUCAUCAAUCUUGUCAUAACAACCUAACAAAUAAUAAAAAAUACCUAUUCAAGUUGUGCCAUUCGAUCCUUAAUGGAAUUGAAAUCCUUUAUUAUUUCAUCUGAAUAAAUAUUUUCGGCAAGCUCUUUUUCACUGUAGAAAACCAUUGAAUCUGCUAAAAAUUCACUCUCCAUCUUGUUGCGAAGUCUUGUUUUAACAAGAUUCAUUGCUGAAAAAGCUCGUUCAGUAAAUGCAAAAGGUAUAUCACUCUCUAAUUUAUCACCAUCAUCUCGUUUUCUAAAGAAUGAAUCAAUAAUUCUUAACCUCUCAUCGAACAGACGUUGUGACACACCCUGAUUGAAAAUCAAGGCGUGAUGGCCGUCACGUGAGGGUGACGUAGCCAUAUGCACAGUGCGGAAGCGAUAAGGAUAAGAAAUAUACAAAUAAAGAAAAACCGAAAGCUAACUAAUGUGCACUAAUAAGUAGAAAGUGCUAGGAAUGAGAUACAAGUGUAAAUACACCUAAUCAGAGCGUAGAAAAUCUAGGUACAGUCCAGUAGGACAAGUACUAGUUAUACAGUACCAUAAGAUAUCCUACGAAUAUUAUAUUUUCUCAGAACCGCCAAGAUCAUCAAAUGCCACCAACAGCAAGUCUACCUAAAAUCUGGAGGGGCGCAAAAUAGAAAUGUAAGUGGGCAAAAACAAAGCUUUUCAAAAUCAUUUCAUUUACCAAAUGCUCUAACCCCUCGCCGUAAAACAUGUAUAAUUUUUCCUAGAAAUAGAAUAUAAAUAUAUACAUCUAUAUAUAUAUAUAUAUAUAUAUAUAUAUAUUCAAAUCAUGCUUCACAUAUUCAUAAUCAUAAAUAUGCCAUGCCAAGGUAUAAACAGAAUAAGUAACUCGGGUGAAAAUAAAUUCAUGGAAAAUAACAUAUUGGCCGGAACCCAUGCAGAAGUUUGUACGGUUGAAUUUGUAGCUCAUUAAUCAAUCUAGCCGGAGUCACUACAAGUGACCUAUACGACACUACACUGCACACGAGUUGGAACCACUGUAAGGGUCUGUACGACAAGACUGGGUGUAAUAUAGUUAUGCUCAAUGCUACGCACUCAUGAUAGCUUUGCGAUAAAUUGCUAGUCACCUACGAGUCGGAACCACCUACGAGUCGGAACCACCUAUGAUGGUUUGUACGACAAGACUGUGCACCUAAAUUGGAUCCAAUGUGAGCAUAUGGUGCAAGAUGUGACAUUAUAUAUAGGCAUGUGUCAUAUCUCUAACUAAAUCACUAACACCAGGGUGCAGGUUCAUGAGCUUAAUGUUUCUCAAUUAAUCACAAUCAUUAUUCACAUUCACAAUUUAUAAACUCACCUGGGACUUACAUGAGCUUUCACAUCACCGCAAUUAUACAUACAUACAUAUAUAUAUAUAUAUGCAAACAACAUAUGCAUAUUCUAAAUGUAAAACAUUUGGCAUGGCAAUUUAAGUCAUAACUUAGUUAAAUGCAUUUUCUAGGAAAAUAUCAAGUAUAUAAGUAUAUACUGAAAACCAAAAGCCAACUCAUUGGUAUGUCGAAGGGUCGUAGCCCCCGAGUCGCCCUUGACUGCGCUCAUUCUCGGGAUAGGUCUCACCUAUAUGCAAAAUAACUAUAAAAACGUUAAUUUAAAACACAUAACCAAUACUAACUAAUAACUUCUCAUACAUUGUUCAAAUGAGGUAUAUAAAUAUACCAUCAUGACCUACACAACUCCACAAACACGCCCAAAAUUUUAAAAUAAUUUUUGGAGCCCUCACACGCCGUCACGCGCCGGCAAGGGCACUGCCCUACGCGCGGCCACGCACAGGGACCCUAACGGAAUCCCCUAACCCCGUUAGGAAUAUUCCGUUAAAAAGUAACAUAAACCGUUAAAACUAACCAACGCCUUUAGGAAUAUUCCGUCAUCCCCUACCUUCAAACUCCGAUUACCGUUGCCGUCGCCGAAAACUGGAAAAUAACUUUAAAACCUUGUAUCCCAAUCAUUUCUUAACCAAAACUCAUGAAAUUGGUCUCAAUUUAAAGCUUAUAACUAGAAGAACACAUCCUUACCAAUUUCAAGGCUUGAAAUCCACGAAAACUCACCAGAGAAAGCUCGAUAAUCUGGCGAAAACUUAAAACUCGUCGAACUCGAUUUCCCGACGUCCAAAUUGCUUGGUUUUUCUUCUCCGAGCUUCGUGAGGAUGAUUCAAAGCUCCCUAUGCCCUUAAAAACUCCUCAAAACCUCACAUUAAUUAGUGCAUGAACAGUACCUUAAUCGGAGUUCGUGAGAAACUAAGGUUUUUGAAGGUUUUAAGUCCAAAUAAAGGUAUAAAUCGACUUCGAGGCUUGUAAAGAGUUUGAAUGUUACCUUUAAAACCUCGAUCUGUGCCUGAAAUGGAAGGUUUAGAGUUCGUCCGUACAAGGUUGACGAGAACGGAAGAAAAUUGAGAGGGAGGAGAGAGAGAUCUAUGUGUUUGUGCGGUGUGUACGUUCAACAUGUGUGUGUGUGGUCUACAUUUCAGCUACACACACACAAUCACCAAACAUUUCCAAAAAUUUUAAUUGGUUCCAAAAGCUUAGGAAACCUAGAUAGGAUAAAAAUUUAAGUACAUACCACAGACAACACAAUUCAAACAAUAAACAAAUUGUUGUGACAUAUGUUCUAAUACAUAUUGUGAUUGUGUAAAUCCUAAGUAGAGAUAGAUUAGGUAGGAAUCCUUUGGGAUCUAGAAGAUCUAUUCUCCACUCUCUUUCUCUCCAUGCCGCACCCCAUAGUUAAACAUAAGCCACAACACAAAUAAACUCAUCAAAAAUUACGAAUAAAGUAGUGAGAAACUUACCUAUUGAUGAGAAAAAUCAAUAAACUUUCACAAUUGUAGGCUCAGUAUUUGUGAAUUGUACACGAAUGUCACCAAAGCUUUCUGAAAAGAGAAAAAACAUGGGCUAUUGUUAUAGCCAAAAGCCAAAAAUACAGCCUUAAGCAACGUGUAAGUACUCAUUAAAAUGAAUAAAAUAAUUAAAGUGAAUAAUUACUCCUAAAAACCUAGAACCGUGUGUGACUACUUCCUAUGAAACCUAAAAUAAUAAAAUACUAAAACCUAGUUUUUCAAGGACAUAGAUCCUUUCCGGAUCUCUUCCAUCAAAACCCAUGAUAAAGUGAUUCGAACUCUUGAAAUUUGAUUUAACGGCUAAAAUUAUUAUAAUUUUUAAAAUAUGCCUCUAUUUUUAGUCGUUUGAUCAAAUUUUAAAUGUCCAUAUCACUUGAUCCGUGGACUUUCGUAGAAGAGAUAUGGAGACAACCUCUUUCCUUUUUUUAAACCAUGUGACUACUCCGUAGGAAAUCUAAAAAUAAUAAAAUAUUAAAACCUAUAGACUACUCCCCAAUAAACCUAGGAGUGUUCAUAAUUUUCACUAAAAUAAACAAUUUAUUUAAUAUUUUUUUAACUCUUUCUUUUUAUAAAAGUAAUCUUAGUGUAAGAACUUUUACUUAUUUUUUUGUUUUUGAGUGUAUCAAUAUUUUUACAUUAAGAGGAUAUAGAGAGUUCGGCUAAAUCACACAAUGGGUAGCCUAAUUUGGUAUCGAAUUCGUCAUCCACGAGAUUCGAACCUAAGACCUCUCACUUUUAAGUGAAGAGGAAUACUACUAGACCAUAGUACUAAAUGACUGAACUUUUACUUAUUGAGUGGGCUAUAAUAAUUAAAAAUAAUAAAGUUGUCUAAAUUAUUAGUAUUUUAAGCCCAAACAACUAAAAUUUUCCCUAUGCUAGAGCCCACCCUAGCCUUGUUACUGCCUUUGUCAUUGGCCAGAAGAAGACAAAAAAACAAUUUGUGAAAGAAGAGAAGGAAGGGAAUGAGAAUAUGAGGGAAAAUAAUCUCACUCCAAUAACAAUAGAUGUAGUUGUGGUAAUGGUAGGAGUUCA